GAAUUGGGUGCAUAGCCCAUGUAUUGAGCUCAUUUGCUAAUCAACUUUGUGAACAGGGAGGUGUAUGAUGAGUACAAGGUGCAAACAACAAAAAAACUUGGGAUGGAAUUAAGAGGGCAAAAGAGACAUAACUUAAACUUGAGCACGCGAUUCACGUGUUAAACGCCUUCCACAUGUAUCCAAGUUGAGUCAAAUGUCCAUCACUGACCUCUCCCUUUCCACCGUGCUGAAGCUCACCACCAACGUCAAUAUAUAAUCAAACGUCACAAUCGAAAAUGCCAUAUCACUCCAAGUUCCGAGCUCUAACCAAAUCCAUCACUAGUUUCAUCUGAAUCCUCAUAAAUUUCCCAAAUUGUGCAAAAUAAAUGAUGAACCAUAACCACAAGAAUUUAAAUUAAAUGCUUAAUCAGAGGAAUCAAAGUCCCUAAGGUUAAGGCUUUGAUUCCUUGGAUCCAUACACUACAUGGUGGUAACUAGAACUAAGUUUAAAGGUGAAGAAAUGGCACCUACCUGCGGGAGAUGAAAGCCUGAGAUCGGAGUAAAUAAAGAUGUUAAGCAAGCUUUUAGGAAACUUAUUGAACUGGAGUUAUAUGGAAAGGAUAUGGGUUGCAAAAAGGUGAUGGCAUGCCAAACGAGUUUUGGUUCAAAUGCAGGUCGUGUUGGUUUGAUCAGUUGCUUGGCAAACAUGGUGAUGACCUGUUGAUGUAGGUUGCAGGUAAAAUGCCAAUAAGUUCCGUUUGACUGAUUGGCAAAUUACAGGCUUGUAUGAUGCAGAUGAUGACCUAUUGAUGCAGGUUUUGAUGUAUUGUUGCAGAUUUGGGGUUGAUUGGCAAAUUGCAAGUGUAUGUUUGAGUUGUUUUGAUCAGUGCAAAUUGCUUAAUUUGCAGGUUAUACGUUAUGGGAUUGACAACUAAGAAUCCAUCAUAAAGACCUGCUUGAAAGGGUUGGCAUGUGAACAUGACUUCAAGGUAUCGCAAGACAUGGCAAUUUGAAUGUCAAAAACAAGGCUUAGCACAAAGAUGGUUUUCUUGCUCAUGAAGGAAUUUGGUAAUAGAAUCACAUGGAAACAUGGGAAGUGAUAUGUAUUUCAAGUAGGCAUUAGGGUUAGGUCAUUAGAAUAUGUCAGUUGAAUUUGGCCAACUGCUUGACCAAAAAGUCAACAGUUGACCAAAAGUCAAAUGUAGGUCAACUCUAUAUUUUUUUUGUAUUUUUAUUGCAUGGAUAAUGUAAAUGAUAAUUGAAUGAGUGAAUAGACAUUAUUGGAUGAAAUGAUUUAAAGAA
Long non-coding RNA from Lathyrus oleraceus (garden pea), 1281 nucleotides. RefSeq lists it as uncharacterized. The record is from RefSeq and is a predicted model, not a curated record. Lineage: Eukaryota; Viridiplantae; Streptophyta; Magnoliopsida; Fabales; Fabaceae. The transcript is spliced from 3 exons.